Molecule: long non-coding RNA, 808 nt
Organism: Symphalangus syndactylus (siamang)
Lineage: Eukaryota; Metazoa; Chordata; Mammalia; Primates; Hylobatidae
Source: RefSeq, a predicted model, not a curated record
GUCUAUUUUCAUCUUUCUCAUCCUAGUGUUAUCAAGAGAAAAACAGUCUUAGAUGCAACAUAAAAAUUUCAGAGACAGAAGAAAUCUUCCUUUGAGGGCAGUGAUACACUUAUGUGAGAUUUUGAAAAAUGAAAAAUCAAAGGUGGAAUUGACCAGUAGAUGUAAAAGUACAACGAAUAAACAAAAAUGCAAUGUUGAAAGUGAAACUGAAAUUCGACAGAAAUAAAAGAAAUAGCAGACUGGGGGGAUAUUGACUUUGACACCAUGAUGCCAGAGGAACUUAGUGAUGGCAAACUUAUCAAUAUAAAAUGAGGAUAUUGGUUGUCAACUAGGUUGUGUGGUGGUCCUUGAUCUUGUCUAUCAAGUCCUUUUUCCCAAAGGAUAACUGAAGAAGAUCACAUACAUUCCAACUUAUUGACUCUGAUAGGUAUUCAUCUGAUGAGCUCCUCUUCAACUGAGGAUUGAAAUGCUAUUUUUCUUCCCUGGUACAAUGUUAAAGCUUUAAACUCUUGUCAAUGAUGUGACAUUUCAUCUGCAAUGAUCUACACUAGAAAAAUAAAAAUGUAGUUACUGACAAAAAAGCAGGAACUACUGCUCUAAGGAAAAAAAGAAAGCUGCAUGAGGACCACACAAUUCCUGGAAGAGGUUUCCCUGGCAACACAACUUUUCCAUUCAUCUGGUUGCAAUGUUUUCAUCCAGUAGCCUGUCACCUCACUCAAAAGCAGGGCAAUGGAGAGAAAGAAACUUGUCAAGUUUUUUCUUUUAACUAGAGAGUAACCUACUUAUUGGGUCCUGCAAUUAAUUUCAG